UCUGUUUGAUCCCGGCGGAGGCCACUGCUAUCGGGGUUCGAUUAAGCUAUGCGAGUCGAGAGGUGCAAGACCUCGGCAUACUGCUCAGUAACACGUGGACAACCUACCCUAAGGAGGGGGAUAACCCCGGAAAACUGGGGAUAAUACCCCAUAGACUACAGAAGCUGGAAUGCUCUGUAAUUGAAAGGUCCGCCGCCUUAGGAUGGGUCUGCGGCUGAUUAGGUUGUUGUUGGGGUAACGGCCCAACAAGCCUGUAAUCAGUACGGGUUGUGGGAGCAAGAACCCGGAGAUGGAUUCUGAGACACGAAUCCAGGCCCUACGGGGCGCAGCAGGCGCGAAAACUUUACAAUGCGGGAAACCGUGAUAAGGGAACCCCGAGUGCCCGUAAAUUCGGGCUGUUAACCUGUUUAAAAAGCAGGUGGAGAAAGGGCCGGGCAAGACCGGUGCCAGCCGCCGCGGUAAUACCGGCGGCUCGAGUGGUGGCCACUAUUACUGGGCUUAAAGCGUCCGUAGCUGGAUUGUUAAGUCUCUUGGGAAAUCUACCGGCUUAACCGAUAGGCGUUCAAGGGAUACUGGCAAUCUAGGGACCGGGAGAGGUGAGAGGUACUCCAGGGGUAGGAGUGAAAUCCUGUAAUCCUUGGGGGACCACCUGUGGCGAAGGCGUCUCACCAGAACGGCUCCGACAGUGAGGGACGAAAGCUGGGGGAGCAAACCGGAUUAGAUACCCGGGUAGUCCCAGCUGUAAACGAUGCGCGUUAGGUGUAUCGGUGACCACGAGUCACCGAGGUGCCGAAGAGAAAUCGUGAAACGUGCCGCCUGGGAAGUACGGUCGCAAGGCUGAAACUUAAAGGAAUUGGCGGGGGAGCACCACAACGGGUGGAGCCUGCGGUUUAAUCGGACUCAACGCCGGAAAGCUCACCAGAUAAGACAGCGGAAUGAUAGCCGGGCUGAAGACUCUGCUUGACUAGCUGAGAGGAGGUGCAUGGCCGUCGUCAGUUCGUACUGUGAAGCGUCCUGUUAAGUCAGGCAACGAGCGAGACCCA
Molecule: ribosomal RNA, 1043 nt
Filed under: uncultured archaeon
Lineage: Archaea
Description: bacterial SSU rRNA
Rfam family: Archaeal small subunit ribosomal RNA
Source: RNAcentral